UAAUUCCGGAUAACGCACAUAUGCUGGAAUGCUUUAUGCGUAAAAUGGAUUCGUCUGCCCAAGGAUGGGUCUGCGGCCUAUCAGGUAGUAGUGGGUGUAAUGUACCUACUAGCCAACAACGGGUACGGGUUGUGAGAGCAAGAGCCCGGAGAUGGAUUCUGAGACAUGAAUCCAGGCCCUACGGGGCGCAGCAGGCGCGAAAACUUUACAAUGCGGGAAACCGUGAUAAGGGGACACCGAGUGCCAGCAUUAUAUGCUGGCUGUCCAGGUGUGUAAAAUACACCUGUUAGCAAGGGCCGGGCAAGACCGGUGCCAGCCGCCGCGGUAACACCGGCGGCCCGAGUGGUGAUCGUGAUUAUUGGGUCUAAAGGGUCCGUAGCCGGUUUGGUCAGUCCUCCGGGAAAUCUGACGGCUCAACCGUUAGGCUUUCGGGGGAUACUGCCAGGCUUGGAACCGGGAGAGGUAAGAGGUACUACAGGGGUAGGAGUGAAAUCUUGUAAUCCCUGUGGGACCACCUGUGGCGAAGGCGUCUUACCAGAACGGGUUCGACGGUGAGGGACGAAAGCUGGGGGCACGAACCGGAUUAGAUACCCGGGUAGUCCCAGCCGUAAACGAUGCUCGCUAGGUGUCAGGCAUGGCGCGACCGUGUCUGGUGCCGCAGGGAAGCCGUGAAGCGAGCCACCUGGGAAGUACGGCCGCAAGGCUGAAA
Molecule: ribosomal RNA, 709 nt
Filed under: uncultured archaeon
Lineage: Archaea
Description: bacterial SSU rRNA
Rfam family: Archaeal small subunit ribosomal RNA
Source: RNAcentral